GAUGAACGCUGGCGGCGUGCCUAAUACAUGCCAGUCGAGCGAACGGACGAGAAGCUUGCUUCUCUGAUGUUAGCGGCGGACGGGUGAGUAACACGUGGAUAACCUACCUAUAAGACUGGGAUAACUUCGGGAAACCGUAGCUAAUACCGGAUAAUAUUUUGAACCGCAUGGUUCAAAAGUGAAAGACGGUCUUGCUGUCACUUAUAGAUGGAUCCGCGCUGCAUUAGCUAGUUGGUAAGGUAACGGCUUACCAAGGCAACGAUGCAUAGCCGACCUGAGAGGGUGAUCGGCCACACUGGAACUGAGACACGGUCCAGACUCCUACGGGAGGCAGCAGUAGGGAAUCUUCCGCAAUGGGCGAAAGCCUGACGGAGCAACGCCGCGUGAGUGAUGAAGGUCUUCGAAUCGUAAAACUCUGUUAUUAGGGAAGAACAUAUGUGUAAGUAACUGUGCACAUCUUGACGGUACCUAAUCAGAAAGCCACGGCUAACUACGUG
Molecule: ribosomal RNA, 497 nt
Filed under: uncultured bacterium
Lineage: Bacteria
Description: partial 16S ribosomal RNA
Rfam family: Bacterial small subunit ribosomal RNA
Source: RNAcentral